Molecule: transfer RNA, 70 nt
Filed under: Mauritia arabica asiatica
Lineage: Eukaryota; Metazoa; Mollusca; Gastropoda; Littorinimorpha; Cypraeidae
Description: tRNA-Asp
Source: RNAcentral
CAAAAAAGUUAGUUAAAACAUAAUAUUAGGUUGUCAGCCUAAUGUCACUAAUUCAACUUAGUACUUUUUG